RNAcentral lists this ribosomal RNA (472 nucleotides) under uncultured Escherichia sp. RNAcentral describes it as "bacterial SSU rRNA". It matches the Rfam family "Bacterial small subunit ribosomal RNA", at positions 127 to 595 of the family's 1533-position model. The record is from RNAcentral. Lineage: Bacteria; Pseudomonadati; Pseudomonadota; Gammaproteobacteria; Enterobacterales; Enterobacteriaceae.
UGCCUGAUGGAGGGGGAUAACUACUGGAAACGGUAGCUAAUACCGCAUAACGUCUCAGACCAAAGAGGGGGACCUUCGGGCCUCUUGCCAUCGGAUGUGCCCAGAUGGGAUUAGCUAGUAGGUGGGGUAACGGCUCACCUAGGCGACGAUCCCUAGCUGGUCUGAGAGGAUGACCAGCCACACUGGAACUGAGACACGGUCCAGACUCCUACGGGAGGCAGCAGUGGGGAAUAUUGCACAAUGGGCGCAAGCCUGAUGCAGCCAUGCCGCGUGUAUGAAGAAGGCCUUCGGGUUGUAAAGUACUUUCAGCGGGGAGGAAGGGAGUAAAGUUAAUACCUUUGCUCAUUGACGUUACCCGCAGAAGAAGCACCGGCUAACUCCGUGCCAGCAGCCGCGGUAAUACGGAGGGUGCAAGCGUUAAUCGGAAUUACUGGGCGUAAAGCGCACGCAGGCGGUUUGUUAAGUCAGAUGU